This 394-nucleotide ribosomal RNA is filed under the name Salmonella enterica subsp. enterica serovar Derby. RNAcentral's name for it is "partial 23S ribosomal RNA". The stretch from base 1 to 332 matches the Rfam family "Bacterial large subunit ribosomal RNA", at positions 911 to 1230 of the family's 2925-position model. RNAcentral also lists the same sequence under 4 other names. The record is from RNAcentral. Lineage: Bacteria; Pseudomonadati; Pseudomonadota; Gammaproteobacteria; Enterobacterales; Enterobacteriaceae.
UGUUUCGGCUAGGGGGCCAUCCCGGCUUACCAACCCGAUGCAAACUGCGAAUACCGGAGAAUGUUAUCACGGGAGACACACGGCGGGUGCUAACGUCCGUCGUGAAGAGGGAAACAACCCAGACCGCCAGCUAAGGUCCCAAAGUCAUGGUUAAGUGGGAAACGAUGUGGGAAGGCCCAGACAGCCAGGAUGUUGGCUUAGAAGCAGCCAUCAUUUAAAGAAAGCGUAAUAGCUCACUGGUCGAGUCGGCCUGCGCGGAAGAUGUAACGGGGCUAAACCAUGCACCGAAGCUGCGGCAGCGAACGUAUCACUUAAAGCGAUUCAGCGGGUUACGAUUGACGGAGCGAAGCGACGUCAAAGCGUAUACAAAGUCGAGUCGGUUUAAGGAUACGUU